Molecule: ribosomal RNA, 1548 nt
Filed under: Salmonella enterica subsp. enterica serovar Montevideo
Lineage: Bacteria; Pseudomonadati; Pseudomonadota; Gammaproteobacteria; Enterobacterales; Enterobacteriaceae
Description: bacterial SSU rRNA
Rfam family: Bacterial small subunit ribosomal RNA
Source: RNAcentral
AAAUUGAAGAGUUUGAUCAUGGCUCAGAUUGAACGCUGGCGGCAGGCCUAACACAUGCAAGUCGAACGGUAACAGGAAGCAGCUUGCUGCUUUGCUGACGAGUGGCGGACGGGUGAGUAAUGUCUGGGAAACUGCCUGAUGGAGGGGGAUAACUACUGGAAACGGUGGCUAAUACCGCAUAACGUCGCAAGACCAAAGAGGGGGACCUUCGGGCCUCUUGCCAUCAGAUGUGCCCAGAUGGGAUUAGCUUGUUGGUGAGGUAACGGCUCACCAAGGCGACGAUCCCUAGCUGGUCUGAGAGGAUGACCAGCCACACUGGAACUGAGACACGGUCCAGACUCCUACGGGAGGCAGCAGUGGGGAAUAUUGCACAAUGGGCGCAAGCCUGAUGCAGCCAUGCCGCGUGUAUGAAGAAGGCCUUCGGGUUGUAAAGUACUUUCAGCGGGGAGGAAGGUGUUGUGGUUAAUAACCGCAGCAAUUGACGUUACCCGCAGAAGAAGCACCGGCUAACUCCGUGCCAGCAGCCGCGGUAAUACGGAGGGUGCAAGCGUUAAUCGGAAUUACUGGGCGUAAAGCGCACGCAGGCGGUCUGUCAAGUCGGAUGUGAAAUCCCCGGGCUCAACCUGGGAACUGCAUUCGAAACUGGCAGGCUUGAGUCUUGUAGAGGGGGGUAGAAUUCCAGGUGUAGCGGUGAAAUGCGUAGAGAUCUGGAGGAAUACCGGUGGCGAAGGCGGCCCCCUGGACAAAGACUGACGCUCAGGUGCGAAAGCGUGGGGAGCAAACAGGAUUAGAUACCCUGGUAGUCCACGCCGUAAACGAUGUCUACUUGGAGGUUGUGCCCUUGAGGCGUGGCUUCCGGAGCUAACGCGUUAAGUAGACCGCCUGGGGAGUACGGCCGCAAGGUUAAAACUCAAAUGAAUUGACGGGGGCCCGCACAAGCGGUGGAGCAUGUGGUUUAAUUCGAUGCAACGCGAAGAACCUUACCUGGUCUUGACAUCCACGGAACUUUCCAGAGAUGGAUUGGUGCCUUCGGGAACCGUGAGACAGGUGCUGCAUGGCUGUCGUCAGCUCGUGUUGUGAAAUGUUGGGUUAAGUCCCGCAACGAGCGCAACCCUUAUCCUUUGUUGCCAGCGGUCCGGCCGGGAACUCAAAGGAGACUGCCAGUGAUAAACUGGAGGAAGGUGGGGAUGACGUCAAGUCAUCAUGGCCCUUACGACCAGGGCUACACACGUGCUACAAUGGCGCAUACAAAGAGAAGCGACCUCGCGAGAGCAAGCGGACCUCAUAAAGUGCGUCGUAGUCCGGAUUGGAGUCUGCAACUCGACUCCAUGAAGUCGGAAUCGCUAGUAAUCGUGGAUCAGAAUGCCACGGUGAAUACGUUCCCGGGCCUUGUACACACCGCCCGUCACACCAUGGGAGUGGGUUGCAAAAGAAGUAGGUAGCUUAACCUUCGGGAGGGCGCUUACCACUUUGUGAUUCAUGACUGGGGUGAAGUCGUAACAAGGUAACCGUAGGGGAACCUGCGGUUGGAUCACCUCCUUACCUUAA